Molecule: ribosomal RNA, 531 nt
Filed under: uncultured Halorubrum sp.
Lineage: Archaea; Methanobacteriati; Methanobacteriota; Halobacteria; Halobacteriales; Haloferacaceae
Description: bacterial SSU rRNA
Rfam family: Archaeal small subunit ribosomal RNA
Source: RNAcentral
GGCGCGAAACCUUUACACUGCACGACAGUGCGAUAAGGGGAUCCCAAGUGCGCGGGCAUACAGUCCUUCGCUUUUGUCCACCGUAAGGUGGUGCACGAAUAAGGGCUGGGCAAGACCGGUGCCAGCCGCCGCGGUAAUACCGGCAGCCCGAGUGAUGGCCGAUGUUAUUGGGCCUAAAGCGUCCGUAGCCGGCCGCACAAGUCCAUCGGGAAAUCCACCCGCUCAACGGGUGGGCGUCCGGUGGAAACUGUGCGGCUUGGGACCGGAAGACCCGACGGGUACGUCCGGGGUAGGAGUGAAAUCCUGUAAUCCUGGACGGACCGCCGAUGGCGAAAGCACCUCGGGAGGACGGAUCCGACAGUGAGGGACGAAAGCUAGGGUCUCGAACCGGAUUAGAUACCCGGGUAGUCCUGGCCGUAAACAAUGCCCGCUAGGUGUGGCUCCCACUACGAGCGGGUGCUGUGCCGUAGGGAAGGCGAUAAGCGGACCGCCUGGGAAGUACGUCCGCAAGGAUGAAACUUAAAGGAAUUG